UGUAGGGGUAAAAUCCGUAGAUAUCACCAAGAAUACCCAUUGCGAAGGCGAUCUGCUGGAACUCAACUGACGCUAAGGCGCGAAAGCGUGGGGAGCAAACAGGAUUAGAUACCCUGGUAGUCCACGCCCUAAACGAUGUACACUAGUUGUUGGGGUGCUAGUCAUCUCAGUAAUGCAGCUAACGCAUUAAGUGUACCGCCUGGGGAGUACGGUCGCAAGAUUAAAACUCAAAGGAAUAGACGGGGACCCGCACAAGCGGUGGAGCAUGUGGUUUAAUUCGAGGAUACGCGAAGAACCUUACCUGGGCUUGAUAUCCUAAGAACCUUUUAGAGAUAAGAGGGUGCUAGCUUGCUAGAACUUAGAGACAGGUGCUGCACGGCUGUCGUCAGCUCGUGUCGUGAGAUGUUGGGUUAAGUCCCGCAACGAGCGCAACCCACGUAUUUAGUUGCUAACGGUUCGGCCGAGCACUCUAAAUAGACUGCCUUCGUAAGGAGGAGGAAGGUGUGGACGACGUCAAGUCAUCAUGGCCCUUAUGCCCAGGGCGACACACGUGCUACAAUGGCAUAUACAAUGAGACGCAAUACCGCGAGGUGGAGCAAAUCUAUAAAAUAUGUCCCAGUUCGGAUUGUUCUCUGCAACUCGAGAGCAUGAAGCCGGAAUCGCUAGUAAUCGUAGAUCAGCCAUGCUACGGUGAAUACGUUCCCGGGUCUUGUACUCACCGCCCGUCACACCAUGGGAGUUGAUUUCACUCGAAGCCGGAAUACUAAACUAGUUACCGUCCACAGUGGAAUCAGCGACUGGGGUGAAGUCGUAACAAGGUAACCGUAGGAGAACCUGCGGUUGGAUCACCUCCUUUCUA
This 859-nucleotide ribosomal RNA is filed under the name Campylobacter jejuni. RNAcentral's name for it is "bacterial SSU rRNA". It matches the Rfam family "Bacterial small subunit ribosomal RNA", at positions 674 to 1533 of the family's 1533-position model. The record is from RNAcentral. Lineage: Bacteria; Pseudomonadati; Campylobacterota; Epsilonproteobacteria; Campylobacterales; Campylobacteraceae.